UUUGAAAUCUGGCUUCCUUUGGGGGUCCGAGUUGUAAUUUGCAGAGGGUGCUUUGGCGUUGGUGGCGGUCUAAGUUCCUUGGAACAGGACAUCGCAGAGGGUGAGAAUCCCGUUUGUGGUCGCAUGCCUUCGCCGUGUAAAGCCCCUUCGACGAGUCGAGUUGUUUGGGAAUGCAGCUCUAAAUGGGAGGUAAAUUUCUUCUAAAGCUAAAUACUGGCCAGAGACCGAUAGCGCACAAGUAGAGUGAUCGAAAGAUGAAAAGCACUUUGGAAAGAGAGUCAAACAGCACGUGAAAUUGUUGAAAGGGAAGCGCUUGCAGCCAGACUUGCCCGUAGUUGCUCACCCAGGCUUUUGCCCGGGGCAUUCUUCUGCGGGCAGGCCAGCAUCAGUUUGGGCGGUCGGAUAAAGGCCUCUGUCACGUAUCUUCCUUCGGGAUGACCUUAUAGGGGAGGCGACAUGCGACCAGCCCGGACUGAGGUCCGCGCUUCUGCUAGGAUGCUGGCGUAAUGGCUGUAAGCGGCCCGUCUUGAAACACGGACCAAGGAGUCUAACAUCUAUGCGAGUGUUUGGGUGUCAAGCCCGAGCGCGUAAUGAAAGUGAACGGAGGUGGGAACCCUUGGGUGCACCAUCGACCGAUCCUGAUGUCUUCGGAUGGAUUUGAGUAAGAGCAUAGCUGUUGGGACCCGAAAGAUGGUGAACUAUGCUUGAAUAGGGUGAAGCCAGAGGAAACUCUGGUGGAGGCUCGCAGCGGUUCUGACGUGCAAAUCGAUCGUCAAAUUUGGGCAUAGGGGCGAAAGACUAAUCGAACUAUCUAGUAGCUGGUUCCUGCC
Molecule: ribosomal RNA, 830 nt
Filed under: Helminthosporium velutinum
Lineage: Eukaryota; Fungi; Ascomycota; Dothideomycetes; Pleosporales; Massarinaceae
Description: LSU rRNA
Rfam family: Eukaryotic large subunit ribosomal RNA
Source: RNAcentral